CCGGGGGAACUGAAACAUCUAAGUACCCCGAGGAAAAGAAAUCAACCGAGAUUCCCCCAGUAGCGGCGAGCGAACGGGGAGGAGCCCAGAGCCUGAAUCAGCAUGUGUGUUAGUGGAAGCGUCUGGAAAGGCGCGCGAUACAGGGUGACAGCCCCGUACACAAAAGCGCAUGUGCUGUGAGCUCGAUGAGUAGGGCGGGACACGUGGUAUCCUGUCUGAAUAUGGGGGGACCAUCCUCCAAGGCUAAAUACUCCUGACUGACCGAUAGUGAACCAGUACCGUGAGGGAAAGGCGAAAAGAACCCCGGCGAGGGGAGUGAAAAAGAACCUGAAACCGUGUACGUACAAGCAGUGGGAGCACCCUUUGGGGUGUGACUGCGUACCUUUUGUAUAAUGGGUCAGCGACUUAUAUUCUGUAGCAAGGUUAACCGAAUAGGGGAGCCGGAGGGAAACCGAGUCUUAACCGGGCGUUAAGUUGCAGGGUAUAGACCCGAAACCCGGUGAUCUAGCCAUGGGCAGGUUGAAGGUUGGGUAACACUAACUGGAGGACCGAACCGACUAAUGUUGAAAAAUUAGCGGAUGACCUGUGGCUGGGGGUGAAAGGCCAAUCAAACCGGGAGAUAGCUGGUUCUCCCCGAAAGCUAUUUAGGUAGCGCCUCGUGAAUUCAUCUCCGGGGGUAGAGCACUGUUUCGGCUAGGGGGCCAUCCCGGCUUACCAACCCGAUGCAAACUGCGAAUACCGGAGAAUGUUAUCACGGGAGACACACGGCGGGUGCUAACGUCCGUCGUGAAGAGGGAAACAACCCAGACCGCCAGCUAAGGUCCCAAAGUCAUGGUUAAGUGGGAAACGAUGUGGGAAGGCCCAGACAGCCAGGAUGUUGGCUUAGAAGCAGCCAUCAUUUAAAGAAAGCGUAAUAGCUCACUGGUCGAGUCGGCCUGCGCGGAAGAUGUAACGGGGCUAAACCAUGCACCGAAGCUGCGGCAGCGACGCUGAUGCGUUGUUGGGUAGGGGAGCGUUCUGUAAGCCUGCGAAGGUGUGUCGUGAGGCAUGCUGGAGGUAUCAGAAGUGCGAAUGCUGACAUAAGUAACGAUAAAGCGGGUGAAAAGCCCGCUCGCCGGAAGACCAAGGGUUCCUGUCCAACGUUAAUCGGGGCAGGGUGAGUCGACCCCUAAGGCGAGGCCGAAAGGCGUAGUCGAUGGGAAACGGGUUAAUAUUCCCGUACUUGGUGUUACUGCGAAGGGGGGACGGAGAAGGCUAUGUUGGCCGGGCGACGGUUGUCCCGGUUUAAGCGUGUAGGUGUGUGUUCCAGGUAAAUCCGGUUCACUUUAACACUGAGGCGUGAUGACGAGGCACUACGGUGCUGAAGCAACAAAUGCCCUGCUUCCAGGAAAAGCCUCUAAGCAUCAGGUAACAUCAAAUCGUACCCCAAACCGACACAGGUGGUCAGGUAGAGAAUACCAAGGCGCUUGAGAGAACUCGGGUGAAGGAACUAGGCAAAAUGGUGCCGUAACUUCGGGAGAAGGCACGCUGACACGUAGGUGAAGUGAUUUACUCAUGGAGCUGAAGUCAGUCGAAGAUACCAGCUGGCUGCAACUGUUUAUUAAAAACACAGCACUGUGCAAACACGAAAGUGGACGUAUACGGUGUGACGCCUGCCCGGUGCCGGAAGGUUAAUUGAUGGGGUCAGCGCAAGCGAAGCUCCUGAUCGAAGCCCCGGUAAACGGCGGCCGUAACUAUAACGGUCCUAAGGUAGCGAAAUUCCUUGUCGGGUAAGUUCCGACCUGCACGAAUGGCGUAAUGAUGGCCAGGCUGUCUCCACCCGAGACUCAGUGAAAUUGAACUCGCUGUGAAGAUGCAGUGUACCCGCGGCAAGACGGAAAGACCCCGUGAACCUUUACUAUAGCUUGACACUGAACAUUGAGCCUUGAUGUGUAGGAUAGGUGGGAGGCUUUGAAGUGUGGACGCCAGUCUGCAUGGAGCCGGCCUUGAAAUACCACCCUUUAAUGUUUGAUGUUCUAACGUGGACCCGUGAUCCGGGUUGCGGACAGUGUCUGGUGGGUAGUUUGACUGGGGCGGUCUCCUCCUAAAGAGUAACGGAGGAGCACGAAGGUUGGCUAAUCCUGGUCGGACAUCAGGAGGUUAGUGCAAUGGCAUAAGCCAGCUUGACUGCGAGCGUGACGGCGCGAGCAGGUGCGAAAGCAGGUCAUAGUGAUCCGGUGGUUCUGAAUGGAAGGGCCAUCGCUCAACGGAUAAAAGGUACUCCGGGGAUAACAGGCUGAUACCGCCCAAGAGUUCAUAUCGACGGCGGUGUUUGGCACCUCGAUGUCGGCUCAUCACAUCCUGGGGCUGAAGUAGGUCCCAAGGGUAUGGCUGUUCGCCAUUUAAAGUGGUACGCGAGCUGGGUUUAGAACGUCGUGAGACAGUUCGGUCCCUAUCUGCCGUGGGCGCUGGAGAACUGAGGGGGGCUGCUCCUAGUACGAGAGGACCGGAGUGGACGCAUCACUGGUGUUCGGGUUGUCAUGCCAAUGGCACUGCCCGGUAGCUAAAUGCGGAAGAGAUAAGUGCUGAAAGCAUCUAAGCACGAAACUUGCCCCGAGAUGAGUUCUCCCUGAGACUUAGAGUCUCCUGAAGGAACGUUGAAGACGACGACGUUGAUAGGCCGGGUGUGUAAGCGCAGCGAUGCGUUGAGCUAACCGGUACUAAUGAACCGUGAGGCUUAACCUUACAACGCCGAA
Molecule: ribosomal RNA, 2735 nt
Filed under: Salmonella enterica subsp. enterica serovar Johannesburg
Lineage: Bacteria; Pseudomonadati; Pseudomonadota; Gammaproteobacteria; Enterobacterales; Enterobacteriaceae
Description: partial 23S ribosomal RNA
Rfam family: Bacterial large subunit ribosomal RNA
Source: RNAcentral